CCCUUAGAUGUUCUGGGCCGCACGCGCGCUACACUGACGAUGGCAACGAGUUUUUCCUUCGCCGAAAGGUGUGGGUAAUCUUUUGAAACAUCGUCGUGCUGGGGAUAGAUCAUUGCAAUUUUUGAUCUUGAACGAGGAAUUCCUAGUAAGCGCGAGUCAUCAGCUCGCGUUGAUUACGUCCCUGCCCUUUGUACACACCGCCCGUCGCUACUACCGAUUGAAUGGUUUAGUGAGGACUCCUGAUUGGCGCCGCCGCCCCGGCAACGGAGCAGCGGUCUGCCGAAAAGUUGUUCAAACUUGAUCAUUUAGAGGAAGUAAAAGUCGUAACA
This 329-nucleotide ribosomal RNA is filed under the name uncultured eukaryote. RNAcentral describes it as "partial 18S ribosomal RNA". It matches the Rfam family "Eukaryotic small subunit ribosomal RNA", at positions 1470 to 1796 of the family's 1831-position model. The record is from RNAcentral.